This is a long non-coding RNA of Triticum dicoccoides, 1015 nucleotides long. RefSeq lists it as uncharacterized. NCBI's taxonomy places the organism in Eukaryota, Viridiplantae, Streptophyta, Magnoliopsida, Poales, Poaceae. The transcript has 2 exons. The record is from RefSeq and is a predicted model, not a curated record.
AAGGCCCCGCGCCUGCCCGCUCCGGUGAGACCGAGGCCCCGCGUGCCCGCUCUGGCGAGGUGGAGCCCGUGCGUGCCCGCGUCCCAGUCUACUCCGGCGAAGCCGAGGCCCUGCGUGCCCGCUCCGGCGAGGCGGAGCCCGCGUCCCAGCCUACUCCGGCGAGGACGAGGCCCUGCGUGCCCGCAUCGCUGCUGUAGGCUGCUGGGGAGGAGGCAGCGGACCACGGCGCCUUGCGGGGUGGAUCCGGUGGCCGGUGCCUAGAUCCGGCGGCUAGUGACGAGGGAAGCUCGUAGGGCGUCGCCGCUGUGUCAAGUGAGGCGGUCGGAGCCGGCGAGGCUAGCGAAGAUGGUUGCGGGCAGGUGCAUGGCACGGUGGUAGCGGUCGACAUGGUGGCGUGGUGGCCUGAGGAUGAAGAAGAGAAUGGGGAAAUAAGACAUGUGGCUGACAGGUUGGGCCCUGUGUCCACCUCAGCGGGUCAACACAUUGACUAGGACUAGUUUUAUCCACAUCAGCCUGACGAACGGGUCCCGCUCUUCAGUUUUGUUGUUAGUCACGACUAACAUCUGAUUCAGUGCGAUUUGUUAUUCACUAGGCGCAGAAGUGGUGGUUUUUUGUGAUUUUUGACAAAAAUGGUGGUUUUGAAGUACCCUAGCCACAAAUGUGGUGGUUUUGAGCAAUUUACUCAUUUUUCUUGUGUCUAAUUCGGUUGCAGCGAUGCUCCGUGUCGAGGGGGGGACGCCCUGAUUCCGCGCUGUUGCCGUACGUGAGAUCUCGGGGUGGCCAUCUCGCGGCGGCGACAUGCCGUCUCUGCAGCUGCUGCAGUUGACGGACCGCGGACAGGUGCUUCUGGCUUCCAAGAGGAGGACUCUCGCUGUUGUUUCUGGCGCGCUGAUUGCUGGUGGAGCUUUGGCCUAGGCGACUACUAGGCGCCGGCGCGCCGGCCGAAAUUUUCGGCCGGUCAACGCCCCAGCGUUGGAUACAGCCAUAUGUAACCGUCAGAUCCAGAUAAAAAAAA